This 23-nucleotide small nuclear RNA is filed under the name Arabidopsis thaliana (thale cress). Its description in RNAcentral is "snRNA_02011". The record is from RNAcentral. Lineage: Eukaryota; Viridiplantae; Streptophyta; Magnoliopsida; Brassicales; Brassicaceae.
GUCAUCGCGCUUGGUUGAAAAGC